AGCAGCCGCGGUAAUUCCAGCUCCAAUAGCGUAUAUUAAAGUUGUUGCAGUUAAAAAGCUCGUAGUUGAAUUUCGGGAUCAAAGGAUCGGUCAUGCCUUGGUAUGUACUGGUUUUAUUGGUUCUCACCUUCUAAAGAACCAUAAUGUCAUUCAUUUGAUGUUAUGGGGAAUUAGGGACUGUUACCUUGAAAAAAUUAGAGUGUUUAAAGCAGGCUUACGCUUGAAUACAUUAGCAUGGAAUAAUGAAAUAGGACAUCAGAUUCUAUUUUGUUGGUUUCUAGGAUCGAUGUAAUGAUUAAUAGGGAUAGUUGGGGGCAUUAGUAUUCAAUUGUCAGAGGUGAAAUUCUUGGAUUUAUUGAAGACUAACUACUGCGAAAGCAUUUGCCAAGGAUGUUUUCAUUAAUCAAGAACGAAAGUUAGGGGAUCGAAGACGAUCAGAUACCGUCGUAGUCUUAACCAUAAACUAUGCCGACUAGGGAUCGGAUGAUGUUAAUUUUAUAAUGACUCAUUCGG
RNAcentral lists this ribosomal RNA (513 nucleotides) under uncultured Glomus. RNAcentral's name for it is "SSU rRNA". It matches the Rfam family "Eukaryotic small subunit ribosomal RNA", at positions 569 to 1083 of the family's 1831-position model. The record is from RNAcentral. Lineage: Eukaryota; Fungi; Glomeromycota; Glomeromycetes; Glomerales; Glomeraceae.